AAAGGGAUAGUCGGACUUGGAACGGGGUCCGAGGCCUCGAAAGUCCACAUCUAGCUACUGGGUGGUCCGAUUCUGAGUGAUCUCGAACUUUCUUGUCCACAAAAGCCGAACGGUGACGCCCCAGACUCGGUUUCUUGGUUCCGUCCCAAAACGCCGAAGAAAGGCACAAUGGCCUAGAAAGGGACGGUCGGACUUGGAACGGGGUCCGAGGCCUCGAAAGUCCACAUCAAGCUACUGGGUGGUCCGAUUCUGAGUGAUCUCGAAGUUUCUAGCCACAAAAGCCGAACGGUGACGCCCCAGACUCGGUUUUUUGGUUCCGUCCCAAAACGCCGAAGAAAGGCACAAUGGCCUAGAAAGGGACGGUCGGACAUGGAACGGGGUCCGAGGCGUCGAAAGUCCACAUCUAGCUACUGGGUGGUCCGAUUCCGAGUGAUCUCGAAGUUUCUUGCCCACAAAAGCCGAACGGUGCGCCCCAGACUCGGUUUCUUGGUUCCGUCCCGAAACGCCGAAGAAAGGCACAAUGGCCUCGAAAGGGACGGUCGGACUUGGAACGGGGUCUGAGGCCUCGAAAGUCCACAUCUAGCUACUUGGUGGUCCGAUUCUGAGUGAUCUCGAAGUUUCUUGCCCAGAAAAGCCGAACGGUGUCGCCCUAGACUCGGUUUCUUGGUUCCGUCCCAAAACGCCGAAGAAAGGCACAAUGGCCCAGUAAGGGACGGUCGGACUAGGAACGGGGUCCGAGGCCUCGAAAGUCCACAUCUAGCUACUGGGUGGUCCGAUUCUGAGUGAUCUCGAAGUUUCUUGCCCACAAAAGCCGAACGGUGACGCCCCAGACUCGGUUUCUUGGUUUUGUCCCAUAACGCCGAAGAAAGGCACAGUGGCCUAGAAAGGGACGGUCGGACUUGGAACGGGGUCCUAGGCCUCGAAAGUCCACAUCUAGCUACUUGAUGGUCCGAUUCUGAGUGAUCUCGAAGUUUCUUGGCCACAAAAGCCGAACGGUGACGCCCCAGACUCGGUUUCUUGGUUCCGUACCAAAACGCCGAAGAAAGGCACAGUGGCCUAGAAAGGGACGGUCGGACUUGGAACGGGGUCCGAGGCCUCGAAAGUCCACAUCUAGCUACUGGGUGGUCCGAUUCUGAGUUAUCUCGAAGUUUCUUGCGCACAAAAACCAAACGGUGACGCCCCAGACUCGGUUUCUUGGUUCCUUCCGAAAACGCCGAAGAAAGACACAAUGGCCUAGAAAGGGACGGUCGGACUUGGAACGCAGUCCGGGGCCUCGAAAGUCCACAUCUAGCUACUGGGUGGUCCGAUUCUGAGUGAUCUCGAAGUUUCUUGCCCACAAAAGCCGAACGGUGUCGCCCCAGACUCGGUUUCUUGGUUCCGUCCCAAAACGUCGAAGAAAGGCACAUUGGCCUAGAAAGGGACGGUCGGACUUGGAACGGUGUCCGAGGCCUCGAAAGUCCACAUCUAGCUACUCCGUGGUCCGAUUCUGAGUGAUCUCGAAGUUUCUUGCCCACAAAAGGCGAACGGUGACGCCCCAGACUCGGUUUCUUGGUUCCGUCCAAAAACGCCGAAGAAAGGGACAAUGGCCUAGAAAGGGACGGUCGGACUUGGAACGCGGUCCGAGGCCUCGAAAGUCCACAUCUAACUACCGGGUGGUCCGAUUCUGAGUGAUCUCGAAGUUUCUUGCCCACAAAAGCUGAACGGUGACGCCCCAAACUCGGUUUCUUGGUUCCGUCCCAAAACGCCGAAGAAAGGCACAAUUUCCUAGAAAGGGACGAUCGGACUUGGAACGGGUCCGAGGCCUCGAAAGUCCACAUCUAGCUACUGGGUGGUCCGAUUCUGAGUGAUCUCGAAGUUUCUUGCCCACAAAAGCCGAACGGUGACGCCCCAGACUCGGUUUCUUGGUUCCGUCCCAAAACGCUGAAGAAAGGCACAAUGGCCUAGAAAGGGACGGUCGGACUUGGAACGAGGUCCGAGGCCUCGAAAGUACACAUGUAGCUACUGGGUGGUCUGAUUCUUAGUGACCUUGAAGUUUCUUAACCACAAAAGCCGAACGGUGACGCCCCAGACUCGGUUUCUUGGUUCCCUCCCAAAACGCCGAAGAAAGGCACAAUGGCCUAGAAAGGGACGGUCGGACUUGGAACGGGGUCCGAAGCCUCGAAAGUCCACAUGUAGCUACUGGGUGGUCCGAUUCUUUGUGAUCUCGAAGUUUCUUGACCACAAAAGCCGAACGGUGACGCCCAGACUCGGUUUCUUGGUUCCGUCCCAAAACGCCGAAGAAAAGCACAAUGGCCUAGAAAGGGACGGUCGGACUUGGAACGGGGUCCGAGGCCUCGAAAGUCCACAUCUAGCUACUGGGUGGUCUGAUUCUUUGUGAUCUCGAAGUUUCUUGCCCACAAAAGCCGAACGGUGACGCCCAGACUCGGUUUCUUAGUUCCGUCCCAAAACGCCGAAGAAAGGCACAAUUUCCUAGAAAGGGACGGUCGGACUUGGAACGGGGUCCGAGGCCUCGAAAGUCCAUAUCUAGCUACUGGGUGGUCCGAUUCUGAGUGAUCUCGAAGUUUCUUGCCCACAAAAGCCGAACGGUGACGCCCGAGACUCGGUUUCUUGGUUCCGUCCCAAAACGCCGAAGAAAAGCACAAUGGCCUAGAAAGGGACGGUCGGACUUGGAACGGGGUCCGAGGCCUCGAAAGUCCACAUCUAGCUACUGGGUGGUCUGAUUCUUUGUGAUCUCGAAGUUUCUUGCCCACAAAAGCCGAACGGUGACGCCCCAGACUCGGUUUCUUGGUUCCGUCCCAAAACGCCGAAGAAAGGCACAAUGGACUAGAAAGAGACGGUCGGACUUGGAACGGGGUCCGAGGCCUCAAAAGUCCACAUCUAGCUACUGGGUGGUCCGAUUCUUUGUGAUCUCGAAGUUUCUUGCCCACAAAAGCCGAACGGUGACGCCCCAGACUCGGUUUCUUGGUUCCGUCACAAAACGCCGAAGAAAGGCACAAUGGCCUAGAAAGGGACGGUCGGACUUGGAACGGGGUCCGAGGCCUCGAAAGUCCACAUCUAGCUACUGGGUGGUCCGAUUCUUUGUGAUCUCGAAGUUUCUUGCCCACAAAAGCCGAACGGUGACGCCCCAGACUCGGUUUCUUGGUUCCAUCCCAAAACGCGGAAGAAAGGCACAAUGGCCUAGAAAGGGACGGUCGGACUUGGAACGGGGUCCGUUGCCUCGAAAGUCCACAUCUAGCUACUGGGUGGUCCGAUUCUGAGUGAUCUCGAAGUUUCUUGCCCACAAAAGCCGAACGGUGACGCCUAGACUCGGUUUCUUGGUUUCGUCCCAAAACGCCGAAGAAAGGCACAGUGGCCUAGAAAGGGACGGUCGGACUUGGAACGGGGUCUGAGGCCUCGAAAGUCCACAUCUAGCUACUGGGUGGUCCGAUUCUUUGUGAUCUCGAAGUUUCUUGCCCACAAAAGCCGAACGGUGACGCCCAGACUCGGUUUCUUGGUUCCGUCCCAAAACGCCGAAAAAAGGCACAAUGGCCUAGAAAGGGACGGUCGGACUUGGAACGGGGUCCGAGGCCUCGAAAGUCCACAUCUAGCUACUGGUGGUCCGAUUCUUUGUGAUCUGGAAGUUUCUUGCCCACAAAAGCCGAACGG
Molecule: long non-coding RNA, 3645 nt
Filed under: Cucumis sativus (cucumber)
Lineage: Eukaryota; Viridiplantae; Streptophyta; Magnoliopsida; Cucurbitales; Cucurbitaceae
Description: long non-coding RNA (CSAT_LNC000178)
Source: RNAcentral